RNAcentral lists this ribosomal RNA (1141 nucleotides) under Candidatus Synechococcus spongiarum. Its description in RNAcentral is "bacterial SSU rRNA". It matches the Rfam family "Bacterial small subunit ribosomal RNA", at positions 376 to 1533 of the family's 1533-position model. The record is from RNAcentral. Lineage: Bacteria; Bacillati; Cyanobacteriota; Cyanophyceae; Synechococcales; Synechococcaceae.
CGAAAGCCUGACGGAGCAACGCCGCGUGAGGGAUGGAGACCUUUGGGCUGUAAACCUCUUUUCUCAAGGAAGAAGAUCUGACGGUACUUGAGGAAUAAGCCACGGCUAAUUCCGUGCCAGCAGCCGCGGUAAUACGGGAGUGGCAAGCGUUAUCCGGAAUUAUUGGGCGUAAAGCGUCCGCAGGCGGCCGUUUAAGUCUGUUGUUAAAUCGUGGAGCUCAACUCCAUCACGGCAAUGGAAACUGUUCGGCUUGAGUAUGGUAGGGGCAGAGGGAAUUUCCGGUGUAGCGGUGAAAUGCGUAGAUAUCGGGAAGAACACCAGCGGCGAAAGCGCUCUGCUGGGCCAUUACUGACGCUCAUGGACGAAAGCCAGGGGAGCGAAAGGGAUUAGAUACCCCUGUAGUCCUGGCCGUAAACGAUGAACACUAGAUGUUGGGGGAAUCGACCCCCUCGGUGUCGUAGCUAACGCGUUAAGUGUUCCGCCUGGGGAGUACGCACGCAAGUGUGAAACUCAAAGGAAUUGACGGGGGCCCGCACAAGCGGUGGAGUAUGUGGUUUAAUUCGAUGCAACGCGAAGAACCUUACCAAGGCUUGACAUCCUGCGAAUCUCUAAGAAAUUAGAGAGUGCCUUCGGGAACGCAGUGACAGGUGGUGCAUGGCUGUCGUCAGCUCGUGUCGUGAGAUGUUGGGUUAAGUCCCGCAACGAGCGCAACCCACGUUUUUAGUUGCCAGCAUUCAGUUGGGCACUCUAGAAAGACUGCCGGUGACAAACCGGAGGAAGGUGUGGACGACGUCAAGUCAUCAUGCCCUUUACGCCUUGGGCUACACACGUACUACAAUGCUGCGGACAAAGAGUAGCGAUCUUGCGAAAGUUAGCUAAUCUCAUAAACCGUGGCUCAGUUCAGAUCGUAGGCUGCAACUCGCCUACGUGAAGGAGGAAUCGCUAGUAAUCGCAGGUCAGCAUACUGCGGUGAAUACGUUCCCGGGCCUUGUACACACCGCCCGUCACACCAUGGAAGUUGGCCAUGCCCGAAGUCGUUACUCUAACCUUUUGGAAGAGGGCGCCGAAGGCAGGGCUAAUGACUGGGGUGAAGUCGUAACAAGGUAGCCGUAGCGGAAGCUGCGGCUGGAUCACCUCCUAA